Molecule: long non-coding RNA, 268 nt
Organism: Zea mays
Lineage: Eukaryota; Viridiplantae; Streptophyta; Magnoliopsida; Poales; Poaceae
Exons: 3
Source: RefSeq, a predicted model, not a curated record
AAACUGAAAACUGUUUAUUCUUGAUAUUUGAAUAGGUAGAUCAAGUGGCGCAGCUUCGAGAGGAAGUUGAAUUGAAGAAACUUGCUCAAGAUAAAUACAGAAGAAAGCUAACAAAGAUACAAAAGACAAGUGCCCCUCCGGUUGAUGAAAUAGAAUCUUUGAGAAGGUUCAAGCUGGAGGAAGAAAUUAUUGAUGCAGAAUACACUCUGACAUGUGACAGAAUUGUGAGCUUGAAGGACAAGGUAGGUUUUCCCGUGUAUGACUGACC